GACGAACGCUGGCGGCGUGCUUAACACAUGCAAGUCGAACGGAAAGGCCUGCUUUCCCUUGUGGAUUGCGGGUACUCGAGUGGCGAACGGGUGAGUAACACGUGAGUGAUCUGCCCCCAACUUGGGUAUAAGCCUGGGAAACUGGGUCUAAUUCCCGAUAGGACUGCAGGGUGGUGCCUGUGGUGGAAAACGAUUUUCUAGUGGUUGGGGAUGAGCUCGCGGCCUAUCAGCUUGUUGGUGGGGUAAUGGCCUACCAAGGCGGCGACGGGUAGCCGGCCUGGGAGGGUGGACGGCCACAGUGGGACUGAGAUACGGCCCAGACUCAGACGGGAGGCAGCAGUGGGGAAGAUGGCACAAUGGGCGGAAGCCUGAUGCAGCGACGCCGCGUGGGGGAUGACGGCCUUCGGGUUGUAAACUCCUUUCGACCGCGAGGAAGCCACCUGGUUGGAAGGGUGGUGACGGUAGUGGUAGAAGAAGCACCGGCUAACUACGUG
RNAcentral lists this ribosomal RNA (494 nucleotides) under uncultured bacterium. Its description in RNAcentral is "partial 16S ribosomal RNA". It matches the Rfam family "Bacterial small subunit ribosomal RNA", at positions 28 to 507 of the family's 1533-position model. The record is from RNAcentral.